GUAGGGAAUUUUGCACAAUGGGCGCAAGCCUGAUGCAGCAACGCCGCGUGAGUGAAGAAGGCUCUUGGGUUGUAAAGCUCUUUCGGCCAAGAAGAAGGGGUAGUCUGCGAACAGUUGGCUAUUCUGACGGUACUGGAAGAAGAAGCACCUGCUAACUACGUGCCAGCAGCAGCGGUAAUACGUAGGGUGCAAGCGUUGUUCGGAAUUACUGGGCGUAAAGCGCGCGUAGGCGGGCUUGUAAGUCGAUUGUGAAAGCCCUGGGCUUAACCCGGGAAUGGCAGUCGAAACUACAAGUCUUGAGUGCCUGAGAGGAUGGCGGAAUUCCCGGUGUAGAAGUGAAAUUCGUAGAUAUCGGGAAGAACACCUGAGGCGAAGGCGGCUAUCUGGCGGUGCACUGACGCUAAGGCGCGAAAGCGUGGGGAGCAAACAGGAUUAGAAACCCCGGUAGUCC
This 451-nucleotide ribosomal RNA is filed under the name uncultured bacterium. RNAcentral describes it as "bacterial SSU rRNA". It matches the Rfam family "Bacterial small subunit ribosomal RNA", at positions 354 to 796 of the family's 1533-position model. The record is from RNAcentral.